CUUGGAAAUAAUUCUGCACUGGUGUGGCAAAGAUAAAUAGCAAGACUCCAGAUACAAGCAGUGCCCCAGUUCCAACCAGCGUUUGCUUCAACAUUUUGAUUACCGGUUUCACCUAAAGGAUUGAGCUAGAGCAUACCUUGGAAGGAUUGAAGCUAGCAGCUGCAACUGGCAUCCCCAGUAUUGUAAAAGUUGUUAACCACAUACCUCCGAGCCGCUGGAAAAAGGAAGGUGGACUCAACUCAGCCCAGGAGUACAGGCUUGCUUCCUUCAAAGAUGAGUACUCAUUGACCUGUAUGAGAAAUACUUUCAGGUAUCAAGGAGACUAAAAUCACACUUGAAACUACUAUGCAAGUGUGAUAGCUUAUGAGGGCAUACAUACCGGUCUCUGCU
Long non-coding RNA from Chenopodium quinoa (quinoa), 390 nucleotides. RefSeq lists it as uncharacterized. Lineage: Eukaryota; Viridiplantae; Streptophyta; Magnoliopsida; Caryophyllales; Amaranthaceae. The transcript has 3 exons. The record is from RefSeq and is a predicted model, not a curated record.